Molecule: long non-coding RNA, 1700 nt
Filed under: Homo sapiens (human)
Lineage: Eukaryota; Metazoa; Chordata; Mammalia; Primates; Hominidae
Description: HSALNT0326290
Source: RNAcentral
AUAAAUAAAUAAAUAAAUAAAAUAAAAAAGAUUUUGAUAAUAUUGGAAGUGGGACCUAAAGGGAGGUGUUUGGGUCAUGGGGGUCGAGCUAUCAUGAAUGGCUUGGUGCAGCCCCCAAGUAAUAAGUAGGUUCUCACUCUAUUAGUACAUACAAUAAAAAGAGAACCAUGUCAAAAGGUACCUGAGAUACACCAAGAAAGCUCAAACUUGAAGACAUGUUUUUAAUAUGUAAAUGUGUAUGAAUGGAUACAUACAAGAUGUGUUUAAAAUCUGUUUGAGCUGCCACUGUCAGAUUCAAUGUAUAGCUAGCAUCAAUUUGCUGGGGUUAGAGGGCAUCAAGAUCUUCCCAGAAAUUCAGAGCCUUAGGUAAUCCAAAGGAAGAUUCUGUCAACAUUUAUACCUAAGCUUGACAGCCCUGAUGCCUCUUUGGACCUGGCUUGGAAAUAUGAUCCUCUAUUGUAGCAAUUGUACCUUGUUGCUGAAUGAUGUCAUCAUCCACAAGAUGGAUCCAUUCUUGAUUCUCACCCUAUUGACUUUUUUCCAUUGCAACCAUAACAUGGGCUAGCUGCUCUACACCUCUCCAGUGGACUUCAAGUGCUGCUGAGCUCAAAUAAAUCUUGUCUGUCCCACCAUUUUAACCAGACAGGCAGAGCUCUUCUGUCUUAAGUGUCUCAUAAAUCUUUCAAAUAGGUAAACUUCUAGUGCUAUGCUUCCUCUGACCGUUCUGCUAUUCUGUUUUCCUGUGCCAUGGUUUCUCAUUAGGUUUUCUACUGUUUUUUUGUUUGUUUGUUUGUUUGUUUUUCUUUUUGUUUUUGUUUUUGAGAUGGAGUUUCACUCUUGUCGCCCGGGCUAGAGUGCAAUGGCGCGUUCUCGGCUCACUGCCGCCUCUGCCUCUCGGGUUCAAGCAAUUCUCCUGUCUCAGCCUCCUGAGUACCUGGGAUUACAGGCACCCCCCACCAAGCCCAGGUAAUUUUUUUUUUUUUUUGUAUUUUUGGUAGAGACAGGGUUUCACCAUAUUGGCCAGGCCGGUCUCGAACUCCUGACCUCAGGUGAUCCACCCACCUCGGCCUCCCAAAGUGCUGGGAUUACAGGCAUGAGAUACCGCGCCCGGCUCCAAAUUUAUUUUUUGCUUAUUUAUUUUUUAUUUAUCUUAACUUUUUUAGAGAUGGGUUUUCUCUCCGUUGCCCAGGGUGAAAUGCAGUAGCCUGAUUAUAGCCUGCUGCAGUCUCAAACUCCUGGGCUUAUGUGAUCCUCCCAUCUCAGCCUGCUGAGUAGCUGGGAUUACAGGCAAGAGCUGAGUCGCCGCCCCUGUCAAAAUGCCUUGAAACAGUUAUUCCUGGGUAUGGCUGAGAGGGAUAUGACUGAAGGCUCUUGCUCAAGUCUCUCUGAGCCUGAUAAAUUUUGCAUACUUUACAUUCCUCAGGCUGCUUUGAGCCACUUUUCUUUCUUACCCUUAAUGUCCAUCUGAUUGUGGUCAAAUCCAUUGUUCUAACUCAUUUUAGAAGCAGAGUACCUUUGUAGAUGAUGAAAAAACCCGACCUCUACCUUCUUAAAUUCAGUGUGUAGAGCCUGUCACUUUUUUUUUUUUUUUUGAGACAGAGCCUUGCUCUGUCGCCCAGGCUGGAGUGCAGUGGCACAAUCUUGGCUCACUGCAAGCUCUGCCUCCGGGGUUCAAGCAAUUCUCCUGCCUCAGCCUCCUG